AUGCAGUACGUCUGCACUGUGGUUUUUGUGUGCCAUCCACGCUCACCUGGCGGCUGCUCGCGACUGUCGGUCAGUCGCGCUAGCC
Molecule: small RNA, 85 nt
Filed under: Xanthomonas phaseoli pv. dieffenbachiae
Lineage: Bacteria; Pseudomonadati; Pseudomonadota; Gammaproteobacteria; Lysobacterales; Lysobacteraceae
Also listed under: 4 other names
Description: sX9 sRNA
Rfam family: Xanthomonas sRNA sX9
Source: RNAcentral